GAUGAAGAACGUAGCGAAAUGCGAUAAGUAGUGUGAAUUGCAGAAUUCAGUGAAUCAUCGAAUCUUUGAACGCACAUUGCGCCCCUUGGUAUUCCAUGGGGCAUGCCUGUUCGAGCGUCAUUUGUACCUUCAAGCUUUGCUUGGUGUUGGGUGUUUGUCUCGCCUUUGCGUGUAGACUCGCCUUAAAAUAAUUGGCAGCCGGCGUAUUGAUUUCGGAGCGCAGUACAUCUCGCGCUUUGCACUCAUAACGACAGCGUCCAAAAGUACAUUUUACACUCUUGACCUCGGAUCAUGUAGGGAUACCCGCUGAACUUAAGCAUAUCAAUAAGCGGAGGA
RNAcentral lists this unclassified non-coding RNA (336 nucleotides) under soil metagenome. RNAcentral's name for it is "partial contains 5.8S ribosomal RNA, internal transcribed spacer 2, and large subunit ribosomal RNA". The stretch from base 1 to 120 matches the Rfam family "5.8S ribosomal RNA", at positions 35 to 154 of the family's 154-position model. The record is from RNAcentral.